GGUCUCAUGGUGUAACGGUUAGCACUCUGGACUUUGAAUCCAGCGAUCUGAGUUCAAAUCUCGGUGAGACCU
This 72-nucleotide transfer RNA is filed under the name Rhipicephalus microplus (southern cattle tick). RNAcentral's name for it is "tRNA-Gln". It matches the Rfam family "tRNA". From Rfam's summary of the family: Transfer RNA (tRNA) molecules are approximately 80 nucleotides in length. Their secondary structure includes four short double-helical elements and three loops (D, anti-codon, and T loops). The record is from Rfam by way of RNAcentral. Lineage: Eukaryota; Metazoa; Arthropoda; Arachnida; Ixodida; Ixodidae.